UACGUAGGGGGCAAGCGUUGUCCGGAAUCAUUGGGCGUAAAGCGCGUGUAGGCGGCCAGAUAAGUCCGCUGUGAAAUCUCGAGGCUCAACUUCGAGCUGUCGGUGGAAACUGUCUGGCUAGAGUCCGGAAGAGGAGAAUGGAAUUCCUGGUGUAGCGGUGAAAUGCGCAGAUAUCAGGAAGAACACCCGUGGCGAAGGCGGCUCUCUGGAACGCAACUGACGCUGAGACGCGAAAGCGUGGGGAGCAAACAGG
This 253-nucleotide ribosomal RNA is filed under the name uncultured bacterium. RNAcentral's name for it is "partial 16S ribosomal RNA". It matches the Rfam family "Bacterial small subunit ribosomal RNA", at positions 524 to 776 of the family's 1533-position model. The record is from RNAcentral.